AGUGAACGCUGGCGGUAGGCCUAACACAUGCAAGUCGAACGGCAGCACAGUAAGAGCUUGCUCUUACGGGUGGCGAGUGGCGGACGGGUGAGGAAUACAUCGGAAUCUACUUUUUCGUGGGGGAUAACGUAGGGAAACUUACGCUAAUACCGCAUACGACCUACGGGUGAAAGCAGGGGAUCUUCGGACCUUGCGCGAUUGAAUGAGCCGAUGUCGGAUUAGCUAGUUGGCGGGGUAAAGGCCCACCAAGGCGACGAUCCGUAGCUGGUCUGAGAGGAUGAUCAGCCACACUGGAAAUGAGACACGGUCCAGACUCCUACGGGAGGCAGCAGUGGGGAAUAUUGGACAAUGGGCGCAAGCCUGAUCCAGCCAUAACGCGUGGGUGAAGAAGGCCUUCGGGUUGUAAAGCCCUUUUGUUGGGAAAGAAAAGCAGCAGGUUAAUACCCCGCUGUUCUGACGGUACCCAAAGAAUAAGCACCGGCUAACUUCGUG
RNAcentral lists this ribosomal RNA (492 nucleotides) under uncultured bacterium. RNAcentral's name for it is "partial 16S ribosomal RNA". It matches the Rfam family "Bacterial small subunit ribosomal RNA", at positions 29 to 507 of the family's 1533-position model. The record is from RNAcentral.